Molecule: ribosomal RNA, 433 nt
Filed under: uncultured bacterium
Lineage: Bacteria
Description: partial 16S ribosomal RNA
Rfam family: Bacterial small subunit ribosomal RNA
Source: RNAcentral
GACGAACGCUGGCGGCAUGCCUAACACAUGCAAGUCGAACGAGACCUUCGGGUCUAGUGGCGCACGGGUGCGUAACGCGGGGGAACCUGCCCUUAGGUUCGGAAUAACUCCCCGAAAGGGGUGCUAAUACCGGAUAAUGUCUUCGGACCAAAGAUUUAUCGCCUUUGGAUGGGCCCGCGUUGGAUUAGCUAGUUGGUAGGGUAAAAGCAUACCAAGGCGACGAUCCAUAGCUGGUCUGAGAGGAUGAUCAGCCACACUGGAACUGAGACACGGCCCAGACUCCUACGGGAGGCAGCAGUGUGGAAUAUAGGACAAGGGGCGAAAGCCUGAUCCAGCAAUGCCGGGGGAGUGAGGAAGGCCUUAGGGUUGUAAAGCUCUUUUACCCGGGACGAUAAUGACAGUACCGGGUGAAUAAGCUCCGGCUAACUCCGUG